Molecule: ribosomal RNA, 301 nt
Filed under: uncultured bacterium
Lineage: Bacteria
Description: partial 16S ribosomal RNA
Rfam family: Bacterial small subunit ribosomal RNA
Source: RNAcentral
CAGCAGCCGCGGUAAUACGAAGGGGGCUAGCGUUGUUCGGAUUUACUGGGCGUAAAGCGCACGUAGGCGGACUUUUAAGUCAGGGGUGAAAUCCCGGGGCUCAACCCCGGAACUGCCUUUGAUACUGGAAGUCUUGAGUAUGGUAGAGGUGAGUGGAAUUCCGAGUGUAGAGGUGAAAUUCGUAGAUAUUCGGAGGAACACCAGUGGCGAAGGCGGCUCACUGGACCAUUACUGACGCUGAGGUGCGAAAGCGUGGGGAGCAAACAGGAUUAGAUACCCGUGUAGUCCCUGUCUCUUAUAC